CCGCGCUCCGGCUCCCGCGGCGCUGCCUCAGCUUCUCGGUUGUUUCCUGCUCAUUCAUUCGCUUUUUACAAGCUCCAGAUCUCCUGGUGCUGCUGCUCUACCAACUCUUUUUCUCCCCGAGUUUAAAGCGCCACGAGCACGCGUUUUGCAUGUGGGGGGUAGGGUGAGCCGUGUUUGCCUUCGGGGCUGUUUCAAAUCGUUUGAGGAGGGGAAAGCCCGCCCUUUCCUCCAGCACCCGGCCUCGGGUUCCAGACCGACAAAAACGGAGAAGCCUUCGCCCUAGAGAAGACCGAGAGCUGCAAAGCUCUCGCUCCCCUGGGACCGGCGGAAGGAAGCUAAGGGCUGGGAGGCAACCCCGCUGCAAUUUCUAACCCUCAAAAAGAUCCAGGCAGCUGUGAUGUCCUUGCUGUCGCCGCCCCAGUCCGCCGCGCACCAGCUCUGGGGGUGCCGGCCGCGCGCAGCUGCCCGAUUUCUCCUCGCUUCUUGGCUUCCAGGAGGGUCCAGCAGCCCAGGGCUAUGACUAAGGCGCUCACUUGAUCGCAGAGGUGGCGCGGAGCCCGGCGAGCCGAUGACGGACCCCUUCCUCCUGUCUUCAGUGCCUCAACGGAAGAUCCUCAAGGGCUGGAGAGAGAAGGGCUGCUGCUGGACACCCUCCCGGGGAGGCUGCUCCCACCUGCCGCUCGUGGUGUACGAGACUGGGGACUGAGCGAGCCCCAGCCGUCGCUGCCGUCGGUCGGACCGGCCCCCGCCCCGCUCUGCUCGGCCCGCCU
Heterocephalus glaber (naked mole-rat) is the source of this 770-nucleotide long non-coding RNA. The record is from Ensembl. Lineage: Eukaryota; Metazoa; Chordata; Mammalia; Rodentia; Bathyergidae.